RNAcentral lists this long non-coding RNA (3233 nucleotides) under Ananas comosus (pineapple). RNAcentral's name for it is "long non-coding RNA (ACOM_LNC034279)". Lineage: Eukaryota; Viridiplantae; Streptophyta; Magnoliopsida; Poales; Bromeliaceae. The record is from RNAcentral.
GAGCACCGAUUUUCGGUGGGAAAGCUACAAAGUCUAUCAACACCCGUUUGGAAAUCGGAAGAUAUAGCGAUGGACUUUGUCACGCCCCGCGACCACCCGCCUAUUUGGCCGGGUCGCGGCGCCGCCGACAGAUCGCCGAACGGACAGGGUUUCCCCUGUACUGCGGACAGAGUCUCCCCUGUACGUUCAAGGCAUAACAAUCAAUACAAUGUGCGAAGUUCCAACCAGGAACACAUUUCAAUCAAGGAUUGCAUAAUGGAAGGUAUCAAACAACAUAACACAUCCUAUAUUAUUACAUUCAUUCAUAUUCAUGCAUUUUUACAUCCCAAAUACUUAUUACAUUUAACUUCCAAAUACAAUCCGAUUUAAUAUAAUUAUUACAACUUGAUUCUUUCAUUCUUUACAUCCCUAAGUAAGGCCGACUUAGGGUACCACUAUCUCUGGUCUCGGUGGUAGGGCGCUAACUAUGGAGCUACGCCCUCGCCUCGCGCCGCCGCGCCGCUCACGUGCGAACCUGUAAAACCCCAAAACCACGUGGGGUGAGAACCAACUCCAUGGUUCCCAGUGGGUACGGCCACCCAAGGGAAAAGCUCGACCAAUUGGUCCAAGGGAGGCAACUGCAAGUUAGUUCAAUAAACAGAUAGAUAUAUAUCUUUAUUAUGCAACUAAUAAAACCAUGCUUUGCCUCACGAAUGCAAUAAUGCCAUGCUAUAUGCGAAUCAUGCAACUAUACAAGUAGAAUAAAUGAUUUUACUUUGUAUCAUGCUAUCCAUAGCUUUUUCAUAAUUUAUACAUCUUAUCACUUUACAUCAUUGGUUAUUUGCUCCUAAGGUUUUCCUCUACCCUAGCCAAGCUAACCACCCGACUCGGUCUCGAGUCAAUCAACUGCGGAAUACCGCACCAAAACUAGGCUCGAGGUGAUGGACGUCUCACAUACACCUCAGCCCUAAAUCCUCUCAACUGGGAUACCAAACUCGUAACACAUAAUGCUAUACAUUCACUUGGCUUUGACCCAAUCUUACCGGUUAACCAUGUUAACCCCAAUGACUCACAACCCAAAAUCCCUUAAUAGCGGGGGACUCGAACCUCCAUGGGGACCGUCUUCUGGGGGGACUUUACCACGCCCAGUGGUGACCAACUCUGGAGCGCACCGCCCGAGGGGGAGCUACCUCCCUCAAGCCAAGACUUAUCGUGAGUAUCGAUCUAAUCCUCAACUUGAGGAUUCAUAGCCACUUGUCACAAUGCCAUUGUCAUAAUAGGUUUUCUACCUAUUUAAUCAUGCCACUCCCUAUGUCACCUUGGUCCAAUGCCACUCUUGGUUAAACUAUGUUUAACAACUAUGUUCUCUAUGCCAAUCAAUGUCUCUAUUGUCAAUGUCACCUUUGUUUACUAUGUCCAAGUACAACUCUCACAUUCACACAAUAAUAGGGUCCUAACAUACAUGUCCAUCAUGGUUCUAUCUUUCUCUAUGUUCAAUUACGUUAGAAGCAUGUCAUCGAAAGCAACCAAGAUUCACAUGUACUUAGUCCUAUUAUGUAUGAAUGAUACAAAUAUAUAUGCUCAAAUACCACAAGUGUUUACAAGGUUCAUGACACUAGGCUCACACUAUACUUGUUCAACCUAUGUUCUUUGACACUAGGUUCAUAUCCUCCAUGUUCAACCUAUGUCCAUGACUCUAGGUUUAAUGCCACUCGAUCUAAUGUAUAUAGAUUGUCCAUAUGCACAUUUUCAUUUCUUAACAUUAGUAUAUAUCUCUACAACAUGAUCAUCAAGUAUAUCUUAGUAUUAGCCACAUGCUUGCAUUUAUUAUUUCUACAUCAUGCUUAUUAUACCAUUACUUAGCAUUAUCCACAUGUAUGCUUUAGCAUUACUCAAUGCAUUCAUCUAGCACUAUUUACACUAAGUCAUCAUGCAUUCCUGUUCUUAUAAUGUUAACAUUCAUAUACCCUUUAUCUUAUGCAUUCAAAGCAUUAGUCACAUGCAUUUAUCUAGCAUUUCUAUAAUAUGUUAACAUGCAUUCUUUUCACAUUCUUACAUUACGUCAAAUGCAUUCCUCUAGCAUUUCACAUUAUAUGUCAACAUGCAUCAAUAUGAAAUCUCAUUUCUUAGACAUAAAGGACGACCUAGUCGCUUCGGUAAACACAACCCACCUCAUUUCGCAUUCCGAUUGCUUGUCGACACUUGCAAUCGGCCGCCCGCGGCACCCGGCACUCGGUUUGGCCCGAUCUCUUGCGCGACCACCCGAACGGCCUCCAAUUCACGAUCCGAAAAUUAAAGGUCUUCGGUUAUGUGCCACGAUGCCUCAAAUCCGUUUUCAUGAAUUUACGAUAUCGCCUCGGCCCUCCAGGCGAAAACGAAGCCUAAACAUCCGUUUCUUUAAUAACUUCGCAACGGCUCGACGAAUCGCCGAACCGUCUUCGCCAACGCGUUCGUUUACCUAGCAAUUAGGUUUACGGAGGGUCAAAUGAGAUCAAACCCUCAUAUUUACAAAACUAGCAUUUUUGAGCCCUAGAUGCAAUUAACCUCCAAAUAAUCCAAAUUAAAUGGAGCAACAUGCUAAUAAUGCUCAUUAGAGGCUAUUAGAACACUUAAAGCUAAGGAUUAAGCCAAAUCCCAAAAGCUUACCACAACGUGAACGCCGUGACGACAACACACCGCUCCAACGGCCGCACGAAAGCCCGAUCCGUCGCCUCCAACGUGUUCGCAAGCAUCUUCUCCACCAACCCUCCAAAUUUUAGAGAGAGAUUUAGAGAGAUGAGAGGGAUAUCUAGAGAGAGGAAGGAGAGCUUCUCUCUCUAUCUCCAUGAGUGUGCGUGUGUGUGUGUGGCGUGUGUGCGGCUGAAGGAGAAGAAGAAGACAACAAGUCUUCUUAAUAAUACCCCCAAGACACUAUUCACUCCCGGGCAGCUUAAAAUCUGAUAACUUUCGCCGGAGCUACCUGAAUGUCCGUUUGAGCUCAAACUUGACAGUCAUGUUCGGUUUUACUUAACUUAACAAGCUGACGAUCACUGGUUCAGUUUCGACCCCGUUUGGUCACUGAAAACUGUACCGAACUGCAAUCUUUAUCAGAUAAUUCUCGGAUUUUAUUUCUCACUCUACGGGUGUCAGAAAAAUAUGAAACUUUAAAACUAGCCUCAUAAAAAUAUUUCUGACUUAUCCUCCAAUUUUCAUAAUUUUCUGAGACUAUGCAUUUUCUGCUAAUUUAUCUGUCCCGUUUCCAACAGAAAAUUCUA